RNAcentral lists this ribosomal RNA (872 nucleotides) under uncultured bacterium. RNAcentral describes it as "bacterial SSU rRNA". It matches the Rfam family "Bacterial small subunit ribosomal RNA", at positions 100 to 934 of the family's 1533-position model. The record is from RNAcentral.
GACGGGUGAGUAAUACAUGGGUAAUGUACCCCGGGCACAGGGAUAGCGUCGGAAGCUUCGGCUUCCUUUGCGAAAGUGACGGUAAUACCUGAUGACACCCGCGGGAGGUAUCUCCUGCGGUUCAAAAGGUGGGGACCUUCGGGCCUACCGGCCUGGGAUCAGCCCAUGACCUAUCAGCUAGUUGGCAGGGUAAUGGCCUACCAAGGCAACGACGGGUAGCCGGUCUGAGAGGAUGGUCGGCCACAUCGGAACUGAGACACUGUCCGGACACCUACGGGUGGCUGCAGUAACGAAUCUUCCGCAAUGGGCGAAAGCCUGACGGAGCGACGCCGCGUGUAGGAGGAAGCCCUUCGGGGUGUAAACUACUUUUAGGGGCAUGAAACCAAGCGACCUAACACGUCGUACGUUGAUCUACCCCAGAAAAAGCCUCGGCUAACUCUGUGCCAGCAGCCGCGGUAAGACAGAGGAGGCUAGCGUUGUUCGGAAUCACUGGGCUUAAAGCGGGUGUAGGCGGCCCUGCAAGUACUUUGUGAAAUACUCCGGCUCACCCGGAGAACUGCUGAGUAUACUGCAGGGCUUGAGGCAGGUAGGGGUCACUGGAACGACGGGUGGAGCGGUGAAAUGCGUAGAUACCCGUUGGAACGCCGGAGGCGAAAGCGGGUCGCUGGGCCUGUCCUGACGCUGAUACGCGAAAGCGUGGGGUAGCGAACAGGAUUAGAUACCCUGGGUAGUCCACGCCGUAAACGAUGCGCACUAGGUAUGAGAAGCUCUCACGCUGAUCGUGCCGAAGCAAAGUGCUAAGUGCGCCGCCUGGGGAGUACGGCCGCAAGGCUAAAACUCAAAGGAAUUGACGGGGGCUCACACAAGCGGUG